AGUCGACGGUGAAGCAGAGCUUGCUCUGUGGAUCAGUGGCGAACGGGUGAGUAACACGUGAGCAACCUGCCCCGGACUCUGGGAUAAGCGCUGGAAACGGCGUCUAAUACUGGAUACGAGACACCACCGCAUGGUGAGUGUCUGGAAAGAUUUUUCGGUCUGGGAUGGGCUCGCGGCCUAUCAGCUUGUUGGUGAGGUAAUGGCUCACCAAGGCGUCGACGGGUAGCCGGCCUGAGAGGGUGACCGGCCACACUGGGACUGAGACACGGCCCAGACUCCUACGGGAGGCAGCAGUGGGGAAUAUUGCACAAUGGGCGGAAGCCUGAUGCAGCAACGCCGCGUGAGGGACGACGGCCUUCGGGUUGUAAACCUCUUUUAGCAGGGAAGAAGCGAAAGUGACGGUACCUGCAGAAAAAGCGCCGGCUAACUACGUGCCAGCAGCCGCGGUAAUACGUAGGGCGCAAGCGUUAUCCGGAAUUAUUGGGCGUAAAGAGCUCGUAGGCGGUCUGUCGCGUCUGCUGUGAAAACCCGAGGCUCAACCUCGGGCCUGCAGUGGGUACGGGCAGACUAGAGUGCGGUAGGGGAGAUUGGAAUUCCUGGUGUAGCGGUGGAAUGCGCAGAUAUCAGGAGGAACACCGAUGGCGAAGGCA
This 650-nucleotide ribosomal RNA is filed under the name Microbacterium thalassium. Its description in RNAcentral is "bacterial SSU rRNA". It matches the Rfam family "Bacterial small subunit ribosomal RNA", at positions 60 to 723 of the family's 1533-position model. Lineage: Bacteria; Bacillati; Actinomycetota; Actinomycetes; Micrococcales; Microbacteriaceae. The record is from RNAcentral.